UACGGGGGGGGCAAGCGUUGUUCGGAAUUACUGGGCGUAAAGGGCUCGUAGGCGGCCAACUAAGUCGGACGUGAAAUCCCUCAGCUUAACUGGGGAACUGCGUCCGAUACUGGAUGGCUUGGAUUCGGGAGAGGGAUGCGGAAUUCCAGGUGUAGCGGUGAAAUGCGUAGAUAUCUGGAGGAACACCGGUGGCGAAGGCGGCAUCCUGGACCGGCAUUGACGCUGAGGCGCGAAAGCCAGGGGAGCAAACGGG
RNAcentral lists this ribosomal RNA (253 nucleotides) under uncultured bacterium. RNAcentral describes it as "partial 16S ribosomal RNA". It matches the Rfam family "Bacterial small subunit ribosomal RNA", at positions 524 to 776 of the family's 1533-position model. The record is from RNAcentral.